AGCGAACGCUGGCGGCAGGCCUAACACAUGCAAGUCGAACGGACCCUUCGGGGUUAGUGGCGGACGGGUGAGUAACACGUGGGAACGUGCCUUUAGGUUCGGAAUAGCUCCUGGAAACGGGUGGUAAUGCCGAAUGUGCCCUUCGGGGGAAAGAUUUAUCGCCUUUAGAGCGGCCCGCGUCUGAUUAGCUAGUUGGUGAGGUAACGGCUCACCAAGGCGACGAUCAGUAGCUGGUCUGAGAGGAUGACCAGCCACACUGGGACUGAGACACGGCCCAGACUCCUACGGGAAGCAGCAGUGGGGAAUCUUGCGCAAUGGGCGAAAGCCUGACGCAGCCAUGCCGCGUGAAUGAUGAAGGUCUUAGGAUUGUAAAAUUCUUUCACCGGGGACGAUAAUGACGGUACCCGGAGAAGAAGCCCCGGCUAACUUCGUG
This 433-nucleotide ribosomal RNA is filed under the name uncultured bacterium. Its description in RNAcentral is "partial 16S ribosomal RNA". It matches the Rfam family "Bacterial small subunit ribosomal RNA", at positions 29 to 507 of the family's 1533-position model. The record is from RNAcentral.